AAUAUGUGGCAUACGGCUCAGUAACACGUAGUCAACAUGCCCAGGGGACGUGGAUAACCUCGGGAAACUGAGGAUAAACCGCGAUAGGUCAUCACUUCUGGAAUGGGUAAUGACUUAAAUCUAUAUGGCCCCUGGAUUGGACUGCGGCCGAUCAGGCUGUUGGUGAGGUAAUGGCCCACCAAACCUGUAACCGGUACGGGCUCUGAGAGGAGGAGCCCGGAGAUGGGCACUGAGACAAGGGCCCAGGCCCUAUGGGGCGCAGCAGGCGCGAAACCUCUGCAAUAGGCGAAAGCUUGACAGGGUUACUCUGAGUGAUUUCCGUUAAGGAGAUCUUUUGGCACCUCUAAAAAUGGUGCAGAAUAAGGGGUGGGCAAGUCUGGUGUCAGCCGCCGCGGUAAUACCAGCACCCCGAGUGGUCGGGACGUUUAUUGGGCCUAAAGCAUCCGUAGCCGGUUCUACAAGUCUUCCGUUAAAUCCACCUGCUUAACAGAUGGGCUGCGGAAGAUACUAUAGAGCUAGGAGGCGGGAGAGGCAAGCGGUACUCGAUGGGUAGGGGUAAAAUCCGUUGAUCCAUUGAAGACCACCAGUGGCGAAGGCGGCUUGCCAGAACGCGCUCGACGGUGAGGGAUGAAAGCUGGGGGA
RNAcentral lists this ribosomal RNA (642 nucleotides) under uncultured Nitrososphaerota archaeon. Its description in RNAcentral is "bacterial SSU rRNA". It matches the Rfam family "Archaeal small subunit ribosomal RNA", at positions 73 to 718 of the family's 1478-position model. Lineage: Archaea; Thermoproteati; Nitrososphaerota. The record is from RNAcentral.